CGCCUCGAGCAAAACAAGUAUUCGAGGUCCUGCCUGCCCAGUGAACAUUUUCAACGGCCGCGGUACCCUGACCGUGCAAAGGUAGCGCAAUCACUUGUCCCCCAAAUAGGGACCUGUAUGAACGGUUAUAUGAGGACCCACCUGUCUCCCGAGGCCAAUCAAUGAACCUGAUCUCCCAGUCCAAAAGCUGGAAUAUACAAGCAAGACGAGAAGACCCUGUGGAGCUUUAAACCCAGAUAUUACACCUACUUUUCUAAUACCUGGUUUUUAGUUGGGGUGACUACGGAACAAAACCUAACUUCCGCUAUUCAGGCUAACCCCCUACCAAGGCCUACACGCCACCGUAACACAAAAUAUUUUGACCCGGCACUAUUUCGCUGAUCAAAGAACCAAGUUACCCCAGGGAUAACAGCGCCAUCCCCCUCAAGAGCCCAUAUCGCCAGGGGGGUUUACGACCUCGAUGUUGGAUCAGGACACCCCGGUGGUGCAGCCGCUACCAAAGGUUCGUUUGUUCAACGAUUAACCAGUCCU
Molecule: ribosomal RNA, 531 nt
Filed under: Pristurus flavipunctatus
Lineage: Eukaryota; Metazoa; Chordata; Lepidosauria; Squamata; Sphaerodactylidae
Description: partial 16S ribosomal RNA
Rfam family: Bacterial large subunit ribosomal RNA
Source: RNAcentral